GACGGGUGAGUAAUACUUAGGAAUCUGCCUAUUAGUGGGGGACAACAUCUCGAAAGGGAUGCUAAUACCGCAUACGUCCUACGGGAGAAAGCAGGGGAUCUUUAUGACCUUGCGCUAAUAGAUGAGCCUAAGUCGGAUUAGCUAGUUGGUGGGGUAAAGGCCUACCAAGGCGACGAUCUGUAGCGGGUCUGAGAGGAUGAUCCGCCACACUGGGACUGAGACACGGCCCAGACUCCUACGGGAGGCAGCAGUGGGGAAUAUUGGACAAUGGGGGGAACCCUGAUCCAGCCAUGCCGCGUGUGUGAAGAAGGCCUUAUGGUUGUAAAGCACUUUAAGCGAGGAGGAGGCUUUUUUGGUUAAUACCCAGGAUAAGUGGACGUUACUCGCAGAAUAAGCACCGGCUAACUCUGUGCCAGCAGCCGCGGUAAUACAGAGGGGUGGCAAGCGUUAAUCGGAUUUACUGGGCGUAAAGCGCGCGUAGGCGGCCAAUUAAGUCAAAUGUGAAAUCCCCGAGCUUAACUUGGGAAUUGCAUUCGAUACUGUUUGGCUAGAGUGUGGGAGAGGAUGGUAGAAUUCCAGGUGUAGCGGUGAAAUGCGUAGAGAUCUGGAGGAAUACCGAUGGCGAAGGCAGCCAUCUGGCCUAACACUGACGCUGAGGUGCGAAAGCAUGGGGAGCAAACAGGAUUAGAUACCCUGGUAGUCCAUGCCGUAAACGAUGUCUACUAGCCGUUGGGGCCUUUGAGGCUUUAGUGGCGCAGCUAACGCGAUAAGUAGACCGCCUGGGGAGUACGGUCGCAAGACUAAAACUCAAAUGAAUUGACGGGGGCCCGCACAAGCGGUGGAGCAUGUGGUUUAAUUCGAUGCAACGCGAAGAACCUUACCUGGCCUUGACAUAGUAGAAACUUUCCAGAGAUGGAUUGGUGCCUUCGGGAAUCUACAUACAGGUGCUGCAUGGCUGUCGUCAGCUCGUGUCGUGAGAUGUUGGGUUAAGUCCCGCAACGAGCGCAACCCUUUUCCUUACUUGCCAGCAUUUCGGAUGGGAACUUUAAGGAUACUGCCAGUGACAAACUGGAGGAAGGCGGGGACGACGUCAAGUCAUCAUGGCCCUUACGGCCAGGGCUACACACGUGCUACAAUGGUCGGUACAAAGGGUUGCUACCUAGCGAUAGGAUGCUAAUCUCAAAAAGCCGAUCGUAGUCCGGAUUGGAGUCUGCAACUCGACUCCAUGAAGUCGGAAUCGCUAGUAAUCGCGGAUCAGAAUGCCGCGGUGAAUACGUUCCCGGGCCUUGUACACACCGCCCGUCAC
This 1306-nucleotide ribosomal RNA is filed under the name bacterium E3-46. RNAcentral describes it as "bacterial SSU rRNA". It matches the Rfam family "Bacterial small subunit ribosomal RNA", at positions 100 to 1400 of the family's 1533-position model. The record is from RNAcentral.